This 450-nucleotide ribosomal RNA is filed under the name uncultured bacterium. RNAcentral describes it as "partial 16S ribosomal RNA". It matches the Rfam family "Bacterial small subunit ribosomal RNA", at positions 354 to 796 of the family's 1533-position model. The record is from RNAcentral.
GUAGGGAAUCUUCCACAAUGGACGAAAGUCUGAUGGAGCAACGCCGCGUGAGUGAAGAAGGUCUUCGGAUCGUAAAACUCUGUUGUUAGAGAAGAACGUGCAUGAUAGUAACUGAUCAUGUAAUGACGGUAUCUAACCAGAAAGCCACGGCUAACUACGUGCCAGCAGCCGCGGUAAUACGUAGGUGGCAAGCGUUGUCCGGAUUUAUUGGGCGUAAAGGGAACGCAGGCGGUUUUUUAAGUCUGAUGUGAAAGCCUUCGGCUUAACCGAAGAAUAGCAUUGGAAACUGGAAGACUUGAGUGCAGAAGAGGAGGGUGGAAUUCCAUGUGUAGCGGUGAAAUGCGUAGAUAUAUGGAGGAACACCAGUGGCGAAAGCGGCUCUCUGGUCUGUAACUGACGCUGAGGUUCGAAAGCGUGGGUAGCAAACAGGAUUAGAAACCCGAGUAGUCC